Molecule: long non-coding RNA, 812 nt
Organism: Coffea eugenioides
Lineage: Eukaryota; Viridiplantae; Streptophyta; Magnoliopsida; Gentianales; Rubiaceae
Exons: 3
Source: RefSeq, a predicted model, not a curated record
CCUCUGGCUCCGCCGACCGACUGUCCCACUGCCAAACUCCUAAUUCGUACUUCCGCUACCGCCAUCUCUGCUAGCUCCACCUCCACCACUUCCGCUAGCUCCUCAGCAACCUCCAAGUUUUCUCUGCUGACUGUCCUCAGUCCUAACUCUGUCGCAAGUGCAGCUCCAAUGAGCGGGGGCACUCGGGUCCCUUACCUGAGAAUCGAAAACACCAGAUUCAUCCCAGUAUGCACGGAGCCAGAAAGGCAACCCUCUUGAAACCAUGGGAAGUCCCAAACUCCCAAUUCCCCGUUACUGCCAUAUCUGCUUCUACUAGCUCCAUCUCCAGUUUCUCCACCGCUUCCACCAGCUCCACAUAGGCAACCCAACCAGCUUUCGGAACCCAACCACUUCAACGAGGCUGACUGACGAACCCAACCAGCUUCUCAGUGAAUUCCUAUCUCCGGAUUUUUUCUAAGCUUUUCCAGCGAGCAAGUGCGCAACCCACCGAGCUUUUCCUAGAUUUUUGCAGAAAUUGAAGGAUAGACAAGAGAUUGUGUUGCCUAUUUCUUGACUUCGGAGAUGUUUGAGGAAUUUUCUGGAGUUGGAGUUGGUGGACUAAUUCUCGCUUCAUGUCAUGCCUUGGUUCUUGUGGACAACAAGCUGCUUUUAAUUUGUAUUAGUGGAUAUUUGUGGAAAUUUGGAUAAUUUGUAUUAGUGGGCAUCUGGAUAUUUUUGGAUGAUUUGUAUUAGUGGAUAUUUGGACAUUUAUGAUUGUAUUAGUGCAUAAUUUGUAGGCCUCAAGAUCAAGAAUAUGUGAAAAAUUGUUAUUA